AUCAGGAUAGCUUAAGUUUAAAGCUUAAUAUUGAAGAUAUUAGUAUAAGAUUACUUUUCUGAUA
Molecule: transfer RNA, 64 nt
Filed under: Scotomedes sp.
Lineage: Eukaryota; Metazoa; Arthropoda; Insecta; Hemiptera; Velocipedidae
Description: tRNA-Phe
Source: RNAcentral